Heterocephalus glaber (naked mole-rat) is the source of this 1576-nucleotide long non-coding RNA. NCBI's taxonomy places the organism in Eukaryota, Metazoa, Chordata, Mammalia, Rodentia, Bathyergidae. The record is from Ensembl.
UGUAGACUUCCUCUAGCUGCUCCUAGAGUUCCCUGCCAGAGGCCAAGGGAUGGCCUGGAGUGUCUGGGGGCUGCGGCCAGCGGCAGAGGGUGCAAAGGGCAGAGUUCCUCCAGGGGGGCACGGUGCAGGAGAGACGAGGCCUGAGAGGCUGAGCUGGGGGCAGCAGCAGUCACAGUGUGGCGGAGCAACUGGGUUGAGGGGCAGGAGAGUGAAGGUGCAAGAGCCAGGUGAGGGAGGACAGCGACCUAGGGAAGAGCCUGUGAUGGGACAGGACAGGAAGCAGCAGCCAAGUCCCAGACAAGUCCCUGGGCCUGUCCUCCAAAACUUUGACCACCCGCAGUGACCAGCCUGACUUGGGGUGCUGCUUGAUCCGAGGAAGGGAAUGGGACAGGGUCCACUCACAGGGUUCACCUGUAGCACUCCUGCAGCCAAAGCACGGGCUGAUGGUAUUAAGUGAGACUCCACCUGGGCAGGCGUGGCAUUGCUCCCUGUAGGGCAGGAAGUUCCGCGCUAAGCUGGGCUCUGGCAGCUCUUGCAGGAAGUGAAGGCUUAGCUGGGGAAGGGGACCCAGACCCACAGCUCCUUCAGGGCUAGGUUUGGAAUCAGGGAUGGAAACAGUACCCGAGGUCCAAGAUGGCAAAGGGCACACAGGAGAACAGGAAGAUUGAGCCCUAAUUGGCCUCCUCUGUGAGCACAAAGAAGAACGAGGAUGUGUAAGCAUGCUGACACGCUGCAGGGAGAAGUAAGAACACCUGAGAUUCUGUUGUUUACCCGGACAAGUGCCAUGGAGGGAGGCAGACAGAUGAAUCCUGCUCAACUCUAAUUGCUUGGGGCCAGGUCUUAGUGAACAAAGCCGAGGUGCGCCAGUCACUCAGGGCUCUAUGUCGAAGGUGGACAAGAGCCUCAUGGCCUUCCAGAUUUUAACCCAAUUCUGUGUCUUUCCUUUUUUAUCCUUGUCACUCCUUGGUCAGGUUCAAGCUCGUAGGCUGGUUCCUACUCUGUCUUUUCAUAGCUUGAUGGCUCCUUUCUUCUUAGUGCUGGAGACCUACUGAAAGACAUCUUGGUUGCCUCCAAGUUUUGGCAAUUACAAGUAAAGCUGCUAUAAACAUCUGUGUGUAGGUUUUCGUGUGAACUUUAAGUUUUCAACUCCUUUAAGUAAAUUACCCAGGAGCAUGAGAGCUGGGUUGUAUGGUAACAACAUGCUUAGUUUUGUUAGAAACUGCCAAGUAGUCUUCCAAAGUGGCUGUGCUACUUUACAUUCCUAUCAGCUCCAUAUCCUGCCUGCAUUUGGUGGUGUGAGCAUUCUAGAUUUUGGCCAUUCUAAUAUGUACAUAGUGGUUGUUUUAAAAUUUGCAUUUCCAUGAUAAUACGUGUAUUAGGGUCCUCCGGAGGAACAAAGACAAUAGAAUGCAUAUGUAAGGGGGGAUGUAUGAUUGGCUUACGCGGCCAGAGCUGGAUAGUUCCACGGUGGCUGGCUGUAGGGUAGAGAGCCAGGGAAAUUAGUAGCUUCUCAGUCCUGGAAGCUGGAAGCCUCAGAACAUCAAGGACCACUGAUGCAGCCUUAGACCAAGAUGGG